This 425-nucleotide ribosomal RNA is filed under the name uncultured bacterium. RNAcentral describes it as "partial 16S ribosomal RNA". It matches the Rfam family "Bacterial small subunit ribosomal RNA", at positions 354 to 796 of the family's 1533-position model. The record is from RNAcentral.
GUUAGGAAUAUUGGACAAUGGGCGCAAGCCUGAUCCAGCCAUGCCGCGUGAGUGAUGAAGGCCUUCGGGUUGUAAAGCUCUUUAGCCGAUGAUUAUAAUGACUGUAGUCGGAAAAUAAGCCCCGGCUAACUUCGUGCCAGCAGCCGCGGUAAUACGAAGGGGGCGAGCGUUAUUCGGAAUCACUGGGAGUAAAGCGUGCGUAGGCGGCUUUGCAAGUUGGGAGUGAAAGCCCAGGGCUCAACCCUGGAAUUGCUCUCAAAACUGCAAGGCUCGAAUUCGGGGGAGGAUAGCGGAAUUGUCAGUGUAGCAGUGAAAUGCGUAGAUAUUGACAGGAACACCAGUGGCGUAAGCGGCUAUCUGGACCGAUAUUGACGCUGAGGCACGAAAGCGUGGGGAUCAAACAGGAUUAGAAACCCUUGUAGUCC